This 257-nucleotide long non-coding RNA is filed under the name Vigna radiata. RNAcentral's name for it is "long non-coding RNA (VRAD_LNC013340)". Lineage: Eukaryota; Viridiplantae; Streptophyta; Magnoliopsida; Fabales; Fabaceae. The record is from RNAcentral.
GUCUAUAAUCGUAUAUAGACGUUAGUGGCCUUAGUAGUCGACGUCUAUAAGCUCCGCAAAUAUUAAUUUUUAAAUCACAAAGACGUCAGAUUAGUGAGGUCACCGACGUCUUUUCCAUAUAGACGUCGGGCUUGUGUGCAACUGAUGUCUGAUUUCUUGUUGAAACAGUGAUUGUGAACCAGCAAUUUUGCGCACUUCAUCGUCUUCCUUGGCUUUUCUCUCCACUCCAUUGAAUUUACAGGUGCGCUUAAUCUCUU